This 67-nucleotide transfer RNA is filed under the name Apatides fortis. RNAcentral's name for it is "tRNA-Ile". Lineage: Eukaryota; Metazoa; Arthropoda; Insecta; Coleoptera; Bostrichidae. The record is from RNAcentral.
AAUGAAGUGCCUGAAAAAAAGGAUUAUCUUGAUAGGAUAAAUUAUGUAACAAAAAUUACCUUCAUUA